This 695-nucleotide ribosomal RNA is filed under the name uncultured Staphylococcus sp. Its description in RNAcentral is "bacterial SSU rRNA". It matches the Rfam family "Bacterial small subunit ribosomal RNA", at positions 61 to 738 of the family's 1533-position model. The record is from RNAcentral. Lineage: Bacteria; Bacillati; Bacillota; Bacilli; Caryophanales; Staphylococcaceae.
GUCGAGCGAACGGACGAGAAGCUUGCUUCUCUGAUGUUAGCGGCGGACGGGUGAGUAACACGUGGAUAACCUACCUAUAAGACUGGGAUAACUUCGGGAAACCGGAGCUAAUACCGGAUAAUAUUUUGAACCGCAUGGUUCAAAAGUGAAAGACGGUCUUGCUGUCACUUAUAGAUGGAUCCGCGCUGCAUUAGCUAGUUGGUAAGGUAACGGCUUACCAAGGCAACGAUGCAUAGCCGACCUGAGAGGGUGAUCGGCCACACUGGAACUGAGACACGGUCCAGACUCCUACGGGAGGCAGCAGUAGGGAAUCUUCCGCAAUGGGCGAAAGCCUGACGGAGCAACGCCGCGUGAGUGAUGAAGGUCUUCGGAUCGUAAAACUCUGUUAUUAGGGAAGAACAUAUGUGUAAGUAACUGUGCACAUCUUGACGGUACCUAAUCAGAAAGCCACGGCUAACUACGUGCCAGCAGCCGCGGUAAUACGUAGGUGGCAAGCGUUAUCCGGAAUUAUUGGGCGUAAAGCGCGCGUAGGCGGUUUUUUAAGUCUGAUGUGAAAGCCCACGGCUCAACCGUGGAGGGUCAUUGGAAACUGGAAAACUUGAGUGCAGAAGAGGAAAGUGGAAUUCCAUGUGUAGCGGUGAUAUGCGCAGAGAUAUGGAGGUACACCAGUGGCGAAGGCGACUUUCUGGUCUGUA